GACACCUUUCCGUUGGCCUAGUGGUUAGAGGGUCCGCCUCUGAAGCGUGAGGUCGCGGAUUCAAACCCCGCCCGAGUCA
Potamilus streckersoni is the source of this 79-nucleotide non-coding RNA. The record is from the annotation of a GenBank genome assembly. NCBI's taxonomy places the organism in Eukaryota, Metazoa, Mollusca, Bivalvia, Unionida, Unionidae.